This 29-nucleotide non-coding RNA is filed under the name Mus musculus (house mouse). Lineage: Eukaryota; Metazoa; Chordata; Mammalia; Rodentia; Muridae. The record is from RNAcentral.
UGAGCUUGUAAGCCACCAUUUGUUGUCAC